CUACGUGCCAGCAGCCGCGGUAAUACGGAGGGUGCGAGCGUUAAUCGGAAUAACUGGGCGUAAAGGGCACGCAGGCGGUUAUUUAAGUGAGGUGUGAAAGCCCCGGGCUUAACCUGGGAAUUGCAUUUCAGACUGGGUAACUAGAGUACUUUAGGGAGGGGUAGAAUUCCACGUGUAGCGGUGAAAUGCGUAGAGAUGUGGAGGAAUACCGAAGGCGAAGGCAGCCCCUUGGGAAUGUACUGACGCUCAUGUGCGAAAGCGUGGGGAGCAAACAGGAUUAGAUACCCUGGUAGUCCACGCUGUAAACGCUGUCGAUUUGGGGAUUGGGCUUUGAGCCUGGUGCCCGUAGCUAACGUGAUAAAUCGACCGCCUGGGGAGUACGGCCGCAAGGUUAAAACUCAAAUGAAUUGACGGGGGCCCGCACAAGCGGUGGAGCAUGUGGUUUAAUUCGAUGCAACGCGAAGAACCUUACCUACUCUUGACAUCCAGA
RNAcentral lists this ribosomal RNA (490 nucleotides) under uncultured bacterium. Its description in RNAcentral is "bacterial SSU rRNA". It matches the Rfam family "Bacterial small subunit ribosomal RNA", at positions 501 to 992 of the family's 1533-position model. The record is from RNAcentral.